This 323-nucleotide ribosomal RNA is filed under the name uncultured eukaryote. RNAcentral describes it as "partial 18S ribosomal RNA". It matches the Rfam family "Eukaryotic small subunit ribosomal RNA", at positions 1470 to 1796 of the family's 1831-position model. The record is from RNAcentral.
CCCCUAGAUGUUCUGGGCCGCACGCGCGCUACACUGAACAGUUCAACAAGUCUUAACCUUGGCCGAUAGGUCUGGGUAAUCUUUGAACGCUGUUCGUGAUUGGGAUAGACCUUUGCAAUUAUGGGUCUUCAACGAGGAAUUCCUAGUAAACGCAAGUCAUCAGCUUGCAUUGAUUACGUCCCUGCCCUUUGUACACACCGCCCGUCGCACCUACCGAUCGAAGGUAAUGAUGAGCCCUCAGGAUUGUGGCCUCGUCGCGUCAGCGUCUUGGCUGCGAGAAUCUGUGCAAAUCCCUACCUUUAGAGGAAGGUGAAGUCGUAACA